Molecule: long non-coding RNA, 431 nt
Filed under: Citrus x clementina
Lineage: Eukaryota; Viridiplantae; Streptophyta; Magnoliopsida; Sapindales; Rutaceae
Description: Citrus clementina (C. clementina) long non-coding RNA (CCLE_LNC002698)
Source: RNAcentral
AAAAAAAAGGUAAACAUUUCAGCGACAAGAAUGUAUUUAGUUGAGGGAAAAAGAAAAGUGAGAAACUAAUUCAGAUUGAAAAAAUUAGGAUUUCAUAAUUGUUGCCCCGUGACAACACACAAAAUAAUUGCCUCAACGAUGCCACAUCCGCUGGUGACGUGGUGGCGUUGACACCAGGUAAGAUUUUCCCACAUAAAGGACGACUGUCCAUUUACAUACAGCCAAAAGCAACAUUUUAUGGGACCCAAUGACUUAGGCAGGAUUCGUAUUUGACCUUCUAUGAGUUUGGACACGGGCAGACGUGUAGUCAAUUACGUGUAGUCCAUUUAAGUUUUGUGCAAUCCACCAAUACGCCUAUGUUUUGGAUGACACUCUAAUUUCUCCUGUUAUUCUUAUAUUUUGUGCACUGCAGGCUUUUAUUUGUUCUCUCG